GAGUUUGAUCGUGGCUCAGAUUGAACGCUGGCGGCAGGCCUAACACAUGCAAGUCGAGCGGUAGAGAGAAGCUUGCUUCUCUUGAGAGCGGCGGACGGGUGAGUAAUGCCUAGGAAUCUGCCUGGUAGUGGGGGAUAACGCUCGGAAACGGACGCUAAUACCGCAUACGUCCUACGGGAGAAAGCAGGGGACCUUCGGGCCUUGCGCUAUCAGAUGAGCCUAGGUCGGAUUAGCUAGUUGGUGAGGUAAUGGCUCACCAAGGCGACGAUCCGUAACUGGUCUGAGAGGAUGAUCAGUCACACUGGAACUGAGACACGGUCCAGACUCCUACGGGAGGCAGCAGUGGGGAAUAUUGGACAAUGGGCGAAAGGCCUGAUCCAGCCAUGCCGCGUGUGUGAAGAAGGUCUUCGGAUUGUAAAGCACUUUAAGUUGGGAGGAAGGGCAGGUAAAUUAAUACUUUGCUGUUUUGACGUUACCGACAGAAUAAGCACCGGCUAACUCUGUGCCAGCCGCCG
RNAcentral lists this ribosomal RNA (515 nucleotides) under uncultured bacterium. RNAcentral's name for it is "bacterial SSU rRNA". It matches the Rfam family "Bacterial small subunit ribosomal RNA", at positions 9 to 517 of the family's 1533-position model. The record is from RNAcentral.